UACGUAGGGUGCGAGCGUUAAUCGGAAUUACUGGGCGUAAAGCGCGUGUAGGCUGCUCUGCAAGUCGGAUGUGAAAGCCCUGGGCUCAACCUAGGAAGUGCACUCGAAACUGCAGAGCUUGAGUCCUGGAGAGGAAGGCGGAAUUCUCGGUGUAGAGGUGAAAUUCGUAGAUAUCGAGAGGAACACCGGUGGCGAAGGCGGCCGUCUGGACAGUGACUGACGCUGAGACGCGAAAGCGUGGGGAGCAAACAGG
Molecule: ribosomal RNA, 253 nt
Filed under: uncultured bacterium
Lineage: Bacteria
Description: partial 16S ribosomal RNA
Rfam family: Bacterial small subunit ribosomal RNA
Source: RNAcentral